UCCUUUUAGAUCUUAACCUAAAAAUAGAGCUACCACCUAAAAAAGAAAAAUUAAAGUUUACAUAAUGGAAAAGUCGAUUUUUGUACUAUCCGAGGAGCGAGGACAUUCUUACGUACAAAAAACGAAGCGAUCAUAUGAGAGGUAUGAACACCCUUAUAUACCUCUAGCAAAGCCCAUAAAUUAUUUAGGAUGCAUUAGUUAAUACAACGUUGGAUAAUAAUGUAUCAAAUAAUACAUUCUAAUUGAACCUUCAUCAAAUUUAAGGUGUUACCGCCGGUUUUGUUUUCAUAUUUGCUACCUAUUAUUUGAAUAAACCAAGACUAGCUGCAAAUUCUUGAGCCCAACAUAAUAUCUCAAGCCUCUUUCCGAAGGCUUCCAGUGCAGAUUGGGGUAAUCUAUGAAAAUGAUAUAUAGAAUAAUAUGAGAAAAUAUUCAUCCAAAUAAUUAAAUAGAUUUAAGCGUUGUGAAAAAUGAUAGAUUCAGGUGUUCCCAGAAUCAGCUGUCUACGGCGCAGCAGCUGUGGAUUGGUAAAUACCUGUCGGCCCCAAGCUCGUCAUCCCAACCCUUCUCAAAAUGGAGUCCGCUACCCUAAAAAAAUGAUUCUUUAAUGGAUCAACUUUCCACAAUCUGUAAUCAAGGUACAGAUUGUGGAAUUGGGUCCAUAGUAUGUCGUUUUCCGAGCUGCUCCUCUUGCUUAGCGGUGGAAAUCUCUGCCCCUCAUCUGGCCUGCAAAACUGGGGAAGAAUCCUCUGGUUGUUGACGGAAAAUACCAGACGGUUUCUCCUGGUUUCCCCAGCGGGCCGUGAGGAAGCCAGGGAAAAAACCUUGUCCGUUGAAGAAAAUCCGAGGGAAAUCUCCCUGACUACGCUGGAAAUUCAUUUUCUUUAUUCUUUAUUAGUUUUUAUUUCU
This 909-nucleotide long non-coding RNA is filed under the name Olea europaea (common olive). RNAcentral describes it as "long non-coding RNA (OEUR_LNC007454)". Lineage: Eukaryota; Viridiplantae; Streptophyta; Magnoliopsida; Lamiales; Oleaceae. The record is from RNAcentral.